UGGGUUAUAACGGAAGCAACGUGGCAGUGC
This 30-nucleotide non-coding RNA is filed under the name Rattus norvegicus (Norway rat). The record is from RNAcentral. Lineage: Eukaryota; Metazoa; Chordata; Mammalia; Rodentia; Muridae.